Molecule: ribosomal RNA, 406 nt
Filed under: uncultured bacterium
Lineage: Bacteria
Description: partial 16S ribosomal RNA
Rfam family: Bacterial small subunit ribosomal RNA
Source: RNAcentral
GAUGAACGCUAGCUACAGGCUUAACACAUGCAAGUCGAGCGACCGGCGCACGGGUGAGUAACCCGUAUCCAACCUGCCCGUUACUCGGGGAUAGCCUUUCGAAAGAAAGAUUAAUACCCGACAUAAUGUAUGGGGAUGGGUUCCAUUAGGUUGUUGGUGAGGUACCGGCUCACCAAGCCUUCGUUGGAUAGGGGUUCUGAGAGGAAGGUCCACCACAGUGGAACUGAGACACGGUCCAAACUCCGACGGGAGGCAGCAGUGAGGAAUAUUGGGCAAUGGGCGCUAGCCUGAACCAGCCAAGUAGCGUGAAGGAUGAAGGCUUUUGGGUCGUAAACUUCUUUUAUAUAAGAAUAUGUAUUAUAUGAAUAAGGAUCGGCUAACUCCGUGCCAGCAGCCGCGGUAAUUC